AGCAGCGUGGCUUAGUGGGCAGAGCCUGGUUUUAGGAGUCAGAGCACCUGGGUUCUAAUCCCAGCUCUGCCA
This 72-nucleotide transfer RNA is filed under the name Ornithorhynchus anatinus (platypus). It matches the Rfam family "tRNA". From Rfam's summary of the family: Transfer RNA (tRNA) molecules are approximately 80 nucleotides in length. Their secondary structure includes four short double-helical elements and three loops (D, anti-codon, and T loops). Lineage: Eukaryota; Metazoa; Chordata; Mammalia; Monotremata; Ornithorhynchidae. The record is from Rfam by way of RNAcentral.